GGUUUGUGGCUCAGCGGUAGAGUGCUCGCCUAGCACGUGCGAGGCCCUGGGUUCAAUCCUCAGCACCA
Molecule: transfer RNA, 68 nt
Filed under: Marmota monax (woodchuck)
Lineage: Eukaryota; Metazoa; Chordata; Mammalia; Rodentia; Sciuridae
Description: tRNA.Ala
Rfam family: tRNA (bases 5-65)
About the family: Transfer RNA (tRNA) molecules are approximately 80 nucleotides in length. Their secondary structure includes four short double-helical elements and three loops (D, anti-codon, and T loops).
Source: RNAcentral